AGGACGAACGCUGGCGGCGUGCCUAACACAUGCAAGUGGAGCGACGAACCAGGCUUCGGCCUGGGGCAGAGCCGCGAACGGGUGAGUAACACGUGGGUAACCUGCCCUGAUGAUUGGGACAACCCGAGGAAACUCGGGCUAAUACCGAAUGUGCCCUCUGGCCUCAAGGCCUCUGGGGAAAGGAGCUUCGGCCUCCGCAUCGGGAUGGGCCCGCGGCCCAUUAGCUUGUUGGUGAGGUAACGGCUCACCAAGGCAACGAUGGGUAGCUGGUCUGAGAGGACGAUCAGCCACACUGGGACUGAGACACGGCCCAGACUCCUACGGGAGGCAGCAGUGGGGAAUCUUGCGCAAUGCGCGAAAGCGUGACGCAGCAACGCCGCGUGGGGGAAGACGGCCUUCGGGUUGUAACCCCUUUCAGUUGGGACGAAGCUCCGCCGGUGAUAGCCGGCUGGAGUGACGGUACCUUCAGAGAGCCCGGCUAACUACGCGCCAGCAGCCG
This 499-nucleotide ribosomal RNA is filed under the name uncultured bacterium. Its description in RNAcentral is "SSU rRNA". It matches the Rfam family "Bacterial small subunit ribosomal RNA", at positions 26 to 517 of the family's 1533-position model. The record is from RNAcentral.